AUUGAACGCUGGCGGCAUGCCUUACACAUGCAAGUCGAACGGCAGCGGGGGAGAAGCUUGCUUUUCCUGCCGGCGAGUGGCGAACGGGUGAGUAAUACAUCGGAACGUGCCCUGUAGUGGGGGAUAACUAGUCGAAAGAUUAGCUAAUACCGCAUACGACCUGAGGGUGAAAGUGGGGGACCGCAAGGCCUCAUGCUAUAGGAGCGGCCGAUGUCUGAUUAGCUAGUUGGUGGGGUAAAGGCCUACCAAGGCGACGAUCAGUAGCUGGUCUGAGAGGACGAUCAGCCACACUGGGACUGAGACACGGCCCAGACUCCUACGGGAGGCAGCAGUGGGGAAUUUUGGACAAUGGGCGAAAGCCUGGUCCAGCAAUGCCGCGUGUGUGAAGAAGGCCUUCGGGUUGUAAAGCACUUUUGUCCGGAAAGAAAUGGCUCUGGUUAAUACCUGGUGUCGAUGACGGUACCGGAAGAAUAAGGACCGGCUAACUACGUGCCAGCAGCCGCAGUAA
Molecule: ribosomal RNA, 508 nt
Filed under: uncultured bacterium
Lineage: Bacteria
Description: partial 16S ribosomal RNA
Rfam family: Bacterial small subunit ribosomal RNA
Source: RNAcentral